GACGAACGCUGGCGGCGUGCUUAACACAUGCAAGUCGAACGGUAAGGCUCCAGCUUGCUGGGGUACACGAGUGGCGAACGGGUGAGUAACACGGGGGUGACCUGCCCUGCACUUCGGGAUAAGCCUGGGAAACUGGGUCUAAUACCGGAUAGGACCAUGGUGUGGAUACUGUGGUGGAAAGUUUUUUCGGUGUGGGAUGGGCCCGCGGCCUAUCAGCUUGUUGGUGGGGUAAUGGCCUACCAAGGCGGCGACGGGUAGCCGGCCUGAGAGGGUGGACGGCCACAUUGGGACUGAGACACGGCCCAGACUCCUACGGGAGGCAGCAGUGGGGAAUAUUGCACAAUGGGCGGAAGCCUGAUGCAGCGACGCCGCGUGGGGGAUGACGGCCUUCGUGUUGUAAACUCCUUUCACCAUCGACGAAGGGUUUCUGACGGUAGAUGGAGAAGAAGCACCGGCUAACUACGUG
Molecule: ribosomal RNA, 466 nt
Filed under: uncultured bacterium
Lineage: Bacteria
Description: partial 16S ribosomal RNA
Rfam family: Bacterial small subunit ribosomal RNA
Source: RNAcentral